This 476-nucleotide ribosomal RNA is filed under the name uncultured organism. RNAcentral's name for it is "partial 16S ribosomal RNA". It matches the Rfam family "Bacterial small subunit ribosomal RNA", at positions 333 to 800 of the family's 1533-position model. The record is from RNAcentral.
ACACUCCUGCGGGAGGCAGCAGUGGGGAAUUUUGGACAAUGGGCGAAAGCCUGAUCCAGCAAUGCCGCGUGAGUGAAGAAGGCCUUCGGGUUGUAAAGCUCUUUUGUCAGGGAAGAAACGGUGAAAGCUAAUAUCUUUUGCUAAUGACGGUACCUGAAGAAUAAGCACCGGCUAACUACGUGCCAGCAGCCGCGGUAAUACGUAGGGUGCAAGCGUUAAUCGGAAUUACUGGGCGUAAAGCGUGCGCAGGCGGUUUUGUAAGUCUGAUGUGAAAUCCCCGGGCUCAACCUGGGAAUUGCAUUGGAGACUGCAAGGCUAGAAUCUGGCAGAGGGUGGUAGAAUUCCACGUGUAGCAGUGAAAUGCGUAGAUAUGUGGAGGAACACCGAUGGCGAAGGCAGCCCCCUGGGUCAAGAUUGACGCUCAUGCACGAAAGCGUGGGGAGCAAACAGGAUUAGAUACCCGUGUAGUCCCAUGA